GGGAAGGUGGCUGAGUGGUUAAAAGCGAUAGACUGUAAAUCUAUUCGCGCGUAGCGCAAUCGUAAGUUCGAAUCUUACUCUUCCCA
This 86-nucleotide transfer RNA is filed under the name Scherffelia dubia. Its description in RNAcentral is "tRNA-Tyr". It matches the Rfam family "tRNA". Rfam says of the family: Transfer RNA (tRNA) molecules are approximately 80 nucleotides in length. Their secondary structure includes four short double-helical elements and three loops (D, anti-codon, and T loops). Further hydrogen bonds mediate the characteristic L-shaped molecular structure. tRNAs have two regions of fundamental functional importance: the anti-codon, which is responsible for specific mRNA codon recognition, and the 3' end, to which the tRNAs corresponding amino acid is attached (by aminoacyl-tRNA synthetases). tRNAs cope with the degeneracy of the genetic code in two manners: having more than one tRNA (with a specific anti-codon) for a particular amino acid; and 'wobble' base-pairing, i.e. permitting non-standard base-pairing at the 3rd anti-codon position. Lineage: Eukaryota; Viridiplantae; Chlorophyta; Chlorodendrophyceae; Chlorodendrales; Chlorodendraceae. The record is from RNAcentral.